Molecule: transfer RNA, 65 nt
Filed under: Laeonereis culveri
Lineage: Eukaryota; Metazoa; Annelida; Polychaeta; Phyllodocida; Nereididae
Description: tRNA-Ile
Source: RNAcentral
GAUGUCGCGCCGGAAAGAACGGAUAACUUUGAUGACGUUAAAUAUGAGGAUAUCCUCCGCCAUCU